CGGCGCACGGGUGAGUAACACGUAUCCAACCUGCCCUUUACUCGGGGAUAGCCUUUCGAAAGAAAGAUUAAUACCCGAUAGCAUAAUGAUUCCGCAUGGUUUCAUUAUUAAAGGAUUCCGGUAAAGGAUGGGGAUGCGUUCCAUUAGGUUGUUGGUGAGGUAACGGCUCACCAAGCCUUCGAUGGAUAGGGGUUCUGAGAGGAAGGUCCCCCACAUUGGAACUGAGACACGGUCCAAACUCCUACGGGAGGCAGCAGUGAGGAAUAUUGGUCAAUGGGCGCUAGCCUGAACCAGCCAAGUAGCGUGAAGGAUGAAGGCUCUAUGGGUCGUAAACUUCUUUUAUAUAAGAAUAAAGUGCAGUAUGUAUACUGUUUUGUAUGUAUUAUAUGAAUAAGGAUCGGCUAACUCCGUGCCAGCAGCCGCGGUAAUACGGAGGAUCCGAGCGUUAUCCGGAUUUAUUGGGUUUAAUGGGAGCGUAGGUGGACUGGUAAGUCAGUUGUGAAAGUUUGCGGCUCAACCGUAAAAUUGCAGUUGAUACUGUCAGUCUUGAGUACAGUAGAGGUGGGCGGAAUUCGUGGUGUAGCGGUGAAAUGCUUAGAUAUCACGAAGAACUCCGAUUGCGAAGGCAGCUCACUGGACUGCAACUGACACUGAUGCUCGAAAGUGUGGGUAUCAAACAGGAUUAGAUACCCUGGUAGUCCACACAGUAAACGAUGAAUACUCGCUGUUUGCGAUAUACAGUAAGCGGCCAAGCGAAAGCAUUAAGUAUUCCACCUGGGGAGUACGCCGGCAACGGUGAAACUCAAAGGAAUUGACGGGGGCCCGCACAAGCGGAGGAACAUGUGGUUUAAUUCGAUGAUACGCGAGGAACCUUACCCGGGCUUAAAUUGCAGUGGAAUGAUGUGGAAACAUGUCAGUGAGCAAUCACCGCUGUGAAGGUGCUGCAUGGUUGUCGUCAGCUCGUGCCGUGAGGUGUCGGCUUAAGUGCCAUAACGAGCGCAACCCUUAUCUUCAGUUACUAACAGGUCAUGCUGAGGACUCUGGAGAGACUGCCGUCGUAAGAUGUGAGGAAGGUGGGGAUGACGUCAAAUCAGCACGGCCCUUACGUCCGGGGCUACACACGUGUUACAAUGGGGGGUACAGAAGGCAGCUAGCGGGUGACCGUAUGCUAAUCCCAAAAGCCUCUCUCAGUUCGGAUCGAAGUCUGCAACCCGACUUCGUGAAGCUGGAUUCGCUAGUAAUCGCGCAUCAGCCACGGCGCGGUGAAUACGUUCCCGGGCCUUGUACACACCGCCCGUCAAGCCAUGGGAGCCGGGGGUACCUGAAGUACGUAACCGCGAGGAUCGUCCUAGGGUAAAACUGGUGACUGGGGCUAAGUCGUAACAAGGUAGCC
Molecule: ribosomal RNA, 1393 nt
Filed under: uncultured bacterium
Lineage: Bacteria
Description: 16S ribosomal RNA
Rfam family: Bacterial small subunit ribosomal RNA
Source: RNAcentral